RNAcentral lists this long non-coding RNA (2791 nucleotides) under Sus scrofa (pig). Its description in RNAcentral is "lncRNA (ENSSSCG00045028339.1)". Lineage: Eukaryota; Metazoa; Chordata; Mammalia; Artiodactyla; Suidae. The record is from RNAcentral.
AACCACUUCUGAGAUUUUUACUUCCCAACCUAAGAAAUAGGAUAUUCAUUUUUCUCCAAAUCUGAUUAUUCCUCUGAAAGUUCACCAACAGAUGCCUGGCACACUGCGGAGACCAGACUCCUUACACUGACUACUUUGGUGAAUAAUCAAAUGGAUUAAUAAAUUAAGCUUAAGGAGUUACUAGUCUAAUUAUUUUUAUUAUCACCAUUCAAAAUCUUUAUGGGGCAGGUACUAUGAAGUUGGGAUGCUUGGGAUUCUGCCACUAAGAGGCAAAGUGGUUCAAGACUGGGAGGACUUGGUAAAAAUCAAAUACUCCCCUUUACCAUAGCUAGGGCUGGAGUCUCCAGUUGUUCAAGCAUUAAAUUGGUAUUCACCAGGUGCUACUGCUUGUAAUCAUGACUCUACAUUCAAUACAUUCAAUACCCAAUGUAUCACCCCUGGUUCUUUCCUGCUUUCUUAUCUUUCACUUACUAGCUCUAGUUACUAAUCCUGACACUUGAAGGCAUUUUUUUUCUGCCUGGUAUAUGGUACUCACCUGCUUACUAAGACACCACAUAGCACCUGAGAGCUCCUGGGUGGGGGCUCCACUAACCCUGACACCCAAUCUUAACUCUCCUCACAGACUUCUUGCAGGAAGUCAGCCAGGUUUCAUGAGAUGAAUAUCUGUCUGUUUCCUUCUGACUCACUGAAAUGUGAGUAAGUGUUUGGAACAGACCCUUGUUUGGGAGGCAGGAGAGUUCCCUUCAUAUGAGACAGGAAUCUGUGCUUUGUCUCAGGGUGCUGGAGAGGAAAAUGUACCCUUCUUUGCUUUGUGCUCAGAACUAGACAAAUUAACGUGCUGGCAUGAGGUUCAGAAUAAAUCAGGAGCUAUAUAUUUUUCCAGAGCAGGCAACAAUUUCAAAUUUCAAGAAACAAAGAACCAACUCCUGCCCCAUUUUUUUUGUCUCUCAGGAUCCAAGAUGCCUCAGGGCCAUGGCAGGAACACUGUCACCUGCCACUGGACCUAUGAUGCUAAGACCUCUCAGAAAGCCACAGUGCCUAUGCUGUGUGCUGACUCCCUCCUACGUGGCUCCUCUGUAGCAGAAAGAAACAAUGAUGCCACUCAUUUUUCCCCAUUUAAUCUUCUUUCCGGCUUUUAAAAAAUAGGGGUGGGGACAGGAACUGUCAGCAGGGGACUGUUCAAGAAGACACCUGGCUUUCAUUGUCAUUGAGAAGAUUUCUUUACAAAAUUUUGCUCUUAAACUUCAUGCGUAGAUUAAACUGCAAUGAAACAUUCAAUUCGGAGUCUCAGUGUUGCUGAAAUGCCCCUGAAAUUCCAGACUUAGACUUUUUCCAUCAUGAUGUGACUUGAAACAUGGUUAAGAUCAAACAUAGUCAUAGUUAUGCGUGUCACUGGCGUCGCCUAGAUAUUGCCAUGAUUUCCACAGUGUGUCAGAUACGUAAAGGAUUUCCAAGCCUCAACUCCCCAACAAAGAACAUCUAGCCCUCAAGGCCCUUCGAGGCGCACCAGGCUUAGCAUGGCCUUGCCAAGAGAACCCAAAUUAAAACCAAACAUUCCCCACUGUACAGCUGAGAAGAGAGGAAACCAUCUGGGAAGCAGAAAGCAGAGAGAUCCUGCAAAUGGGCCCUGGGUCCUAGUGCCAGGUCCUCCAGGCCUUGAAAUUCUCUAGCCUGGAAGUCUUGUAUAAAGCUCUGAACUCAUUAGCUCUGAGAGAAAGGCUUUCUUAUACUUUCAAAGGGAGAAAAAAAAAAAAAUGCCGAUCUCAAAGCAGGGAGUCCAACAUUACAAGUGAUAAUACAUCCUUGUAAAUUUUUUGGUAUGGUGAAACUUCAGCCAGUGUUUAUGUGUACGUCUGAUGUGGGAGGGCUGAUCCUGGGACACUGUGGAUUCAGGAGCUCAGGCUUAAGAACUGGACCUCUUGGGCACCGCUGGGGCGGAAGAGCCUACCUAGGCUCCUGUACUUUCUCUCAAGGUUGGUGGUUAAAGAUCCUCACUUGGAAUUUCCAAAUUCAAGGUUACAUUUUAAUAGGAGGAUAAAAAAAUAGUGACUCAUUCACCAGAUGACAAUGUUAGAUUUGAACUCUUUUUUAUUGUUUUACGUAAAAUGUUGCAUAACAGCGCUCCCAUUCAGGAAGUGGCAGUAUUUAGUCUUUUGUAAGGCACAACACAGUUCACCUUCAGUGGAGGUUUCUGAAUUUCUGGGUAGGAGGUGUUUAGGGACAGAAGUCUGAUUGGAAGGGUUGCCCAGUGGAAUCACCUUGAAGUUGUAUUUGCAUUAAAAUGCCUGCUGUUUACAGUUAGACUGUAUACUUUAAUUAAAAAAUAGUACCACUUUGAGGAUUUUACAGCUCUUCUUUUUGUUUUUUAGAUUAUUAUUUCCAAGGGUGAGGAUGGGGAUUAGGGAUGCUGAUGGAGCCCCACUGAGGGGCUAAAUCCUGCCAGCCCCUCAACUGUCACAGGUACUGAGAGUAUUUGCAAAUUUCUUUAAGCUGCUCCAUGUCUGAAAUGCCUUUCUUUUUGUCUCCACUAUAUUAUACCAUAUCAACCCUUCAGAGUGCCACAGAAGAACAGAGGACUGAAAUCCUGUGUCAGUGAUCAAAUCACAGAAGCUGGUCCUCACAGCAAACAGAGCACAUGAUUUAAACAGAUUUUUCUCUAGGGGCCUUCUUGGAAGUCUUCUUUGGAGGAGAAGACUAAUGGAGGGAGACUUGAGAAGUGUUGAAAAUCAGCAAAGGGUAUGUAGGAUACUGUUUUGCAAAGCCUGAUUUGCCAGAGGCCUCUUUAUUCGAG